AAUAUUACCCGGUAGGGGAGAUACCAUGAUCACGAAGGUGGUUUUCUCCGGGCCAGGCUUACCAUUGCACUCCAGAUGUGCUGGUCCCUGAGAUUCCCUCAAAUGUGGGAAACUCGACAGCUUAAUUUGUGGUAGUGCGGGACUGUACUUGCACUCUACCCUG
Molecule: small nuclear RNA, 163 nt
Organism: Molossus molossus (Pallas's mastiff bat)
Lineage: Eukaryota; Metazoa; Chordata; Mammalia; Chiroptera; Molossidae
Product: U1 spliceosomal RNA
Exons: 1
Source: RefSeq, a predicted model, not a curated record